CUGCUGGUCGUAUUGCUGCCGGUCCUGCUGCUGCUGCUGGUCCUAUUGCUGCCAACGAACCAAGUGUUGACAGUACUUGGCAAGCUCGCAGACCAAGAGGAAGGGCUGCUGGAAUUCGACGGCAGCAAAAACAUUUCGUAAGAUUUUUGUACCAACUAUCCUGCGCGUAUUAUCCCAGGGGUAACAGUGGAAGAGGACGAGGAAGAGGACGCGGGACAAUCUGAUGUACAAUUUCAAUGGAGAGAGAGACUGCAAUGGAGAGAGGAUAGGAGAGAGAGAGAGAGACGAAUAAGACUGAGGAGAGAGAGAAAAAUAUCGUCUUAAAAGUCUAAUGUAUAUAGAA
Molecule: long non-coding RNA, 343 nt
Organism: Formica exsecta
Lineage: Eukaryota; Metazoa; Arthropoda; Insecta; Hymenoptera; Formicidae
Exons: 3
Source: RefSeq, a predicted model, not a curated record